Molecule: long non-coding RNA, 8252 nt
Filed under: Capsicum annuum
Lineage: Eukaryota; Viridiplantae; Streptophyta; Magnoliopsida; Solanales; Solanaceae
Description: long non-coding RNA (CANN_LNC011838)
Source: RNAcentral
AUUCUCAUCACCCCAUGAGCUCGACAGAGCUCAUCAAAAUGAAGAUGAGAGAGAUCAAAAUGCGCGAGAGAAGAAACCAGCAAAGAAAGGAAAACAAGGAAAGGAGCGGUGGAGAAAUAUUUUUUUUUCGGCGAGAAUCCAUUGCCACCAAAAAUUUGACCCGUUCUCUGAUUCUCAUCACCGCAUGAGCUCGACGGAGCUCAAUUGAAACUAACGCGAGAGAGAUCAAAACGUGCGAGAGAAGAAACCGACGAAGAGAGAAAAAUAAGGAGGGAGCGGCGAAGAAACAUUUUUUUCCGGCGAGAAUUCAGUGCCACCGGAAAUUUGACUCAUUCUCUGAUUCUCAUCACCGCAUGAGAGCGAUGGAGUUCCGUUGAAACGAAGGCGAGAGAGAUCAAAAUGCGCGAGAGAAGAAACCGGCGAAAAGAGGCAAACGAGGAGAGGAGCGGCGGAGAAACAUUUUUUUCGACGAGAAUCCACUACCACUGAAAAUUUAACCCGUUCUGAUGCUCAUCAUCGUAUGAGCUCGACGGAGCUCUGUCGAAAUGAAGGCGAGAGAGAUCAAAACGCGCGAGAGAAAAAACCGACGAAGAGAGGAAAACGAGGAGAGGAGCGGCGGAGAAAUAUUUUUUUCCCGACGAGAAUCUACUGCCACUGAAAAUUUGACCCGUUCUCUGAUUCUCAUCACUUCAUGAGCUCGAUGGAGCUCCAUCGAAAUGAAGGAGAGGGAGAUCAAAACACGCGAGAGAAGAAAUCAGCGAAGAGAGGAAAAUGAGGAGAGGAACGACGGAGAAACAUUUUUUUUUCGGCAAGAAUCCACUGCCACCAUAAAUUUGACCCAUUCUCUGAUUCUCAUUACCGCAUGAGCUCGACGGAGUUCCGACGAAAUGAAAACAACAGUUCCCACUCUAAUCCGUUCCAAGAACCCACCAGAAAUUCCAAAAAUUCGAUCAAUCUUCUCUUCUCCAUCACCGCUUGAGCUCACCUCAGUGGCAAAACAAAAAACGCAAACCCAACUCCGAUUCCGGCGAGACCUCUUUAAGCUUAAUUCAAAAUUUGUGAUUUGGGGUUCGUAUUGAGAUUUUUCAGCUGGUUUAAGUCUGUUCGGGGUUAUGGUCCUCGAUACCAAAUUGGUUUGUUCGUCGUUGAGGUUUUUGUUCGAGGAUUUCGAGCUUAGGCUUCACUAACUCACUAUUAUCAAAAAUCAGUUCUGCUAAGGUCCGAUUCUUAAUUCUAUUUUAUUUUUAUGUUAUCUUAACAUGGUUGAUGAUGUGAUUUGGUGGUAUGUAUUGAGUGCACUUGAGCAAUGUUGAUUAUCGUGGCUUUGAAUGUUUGAUUUUAUCUUAAAAUUAAUUAAUUAGAUGAUUGAGAAAUAAAUUUAGGACCAAAAUUAAAAAUUGAUAAAAGUGAAUAUUGGUUUAUUUAAUUCAUUAACGGUUUUUUAAUUCAAAAUAAGCAUCGAUUUUGAUAAAUUCAAUAGUAUCAUGUUUAGAUCGAGAAUUGAUAGAAAAAUUUUAGGUUUGUGGGUAGGAAAAUCGUACGAUUCUACAUUAUCGAAUGUUGGAAUGCUUGUUUUAAAUGAUUUUACUAUUUUUAUCACAUUUUAUCAAAUAUAUUUAUUCAUCGGGGAAUGUCCCGAGAUUAUAUGUAUAUAUUUAUUAGGGAAUGUCUCGUGAAAUUCUAUAUUUGGAAGACAGUUCGUGGAAAUAAUCCAGAAUGUCGGGUGGACUUUGGAGCAUAACUUAGGAUUAGUGUAGGAUAAAAUAAGUUUUCAUUUUAGUACUUUUUCAUUUUUGGGCCUAUAUAAUUGAACUAAACAUUAUUUUUUUUUGGAAUUUUUCAUUUGUUUGUUUUCUUACGUGCUCUUCUGUGAAGUUUAUAAAUCCCAUAGUGUCAUAUUAGUCGAUAUAACUUGACAAAACAACCGUAAUCGAACCACAGAACUGAGGGGUGUCUAACAUCUUCCCAUUGGUAAAUAGAAUUCCUUAGCUGUAAUUUCUGUCUGUGGAUCAGUUUUAAGAGUCAACUCUUUUUUUUUUAAAGGAAAAAAGAAUUUAAAAGAUGACUUGAUACACAAAACAAUGUCAAGUGAUGACUCUGAGUUUAAUUGCAUUUUUUUUUGAAACAAAUUUUCUUUUGUUACUUUAAUAAUUAAAAACCUUUUCGAAUUUUAAAGGCAAAAUAAUUUUUUGAUAAAAAAGGGUGUCCCAGCUCUGGCACUCUAUUGGAAAUUUUUUGAGAAUUUGAGCUUCAUUGUUGCGUUGUGUCGACUUAGUUUGACAUUAUGAGAGUAUAGACAUGUUGUUUGUUUAUCGUUUUAUCAUUGUUGAGUGUCUACGUGCUAUGUGUUUAUUAUUUUUUUUUUAUGUGUUACCAUUUUAUAUCUGGCAUCAAAUGCAUUACCUUGAGUCAUUUCUUUCGCAACAAGUCCCGUAGUACAUGUUGUGUGCACAACCUUCGUUGAGUUACCUUUAUUUUAAAAGGGGGAGCUGUUGGUUGGUAUGGAGUGGGCGAAAAACAAUUGCAGGCUCCAUCGACUAUACGCUCCCCUGAAUAGCCUUGUUAAUUGAACCUCAACCUAGGUCGGUCUUUAAGUCAUUCUUAUUUGCAUCAUGAUUGAGACCUAGUGGGAUCCGUUUGGUCCUUUGUGGAAACUUGUUCCUAAACAUUCCUAUGUGCUACUUGUUGCAUCUUUGAGGCAAAAAAGUCAGUUGGCGGACUAAAUUAGGGAAUCAUGUUCUAAAAUUGAGGGAAUGAGUGUGUUUAGGCAAAGAAAGGUCAAAAGAAAAAAGAAGUCAAAUUUAGAGUCGAAAAAGAGAAGAAAAAAAAAGAGUUUCGUAGUUUAUAAGAGUUUUUUAUGGCUUUUAUAUUUCACAAUAAAAAAUUUAAAAAGAUUUUUCACCUUUUGCACGCAUUUUCUCAAAAAUCAAAACAUCAAGAAAAUUUUUUCUUUAUUUUCUUCAGCAUGCAUUUAUAACUCAAAAUUUAAAAAAAAAUUUGUUUAAUAGUUAUAUAUUUUUAUAGAAAAAAAAUUCAAAAAAAUGUUAGAAGUUUUAUACAUUCCAUAUAAUAAAAUGUCAAAAAGAUUUUUCUUUUAGUGUCUUCAUGUUUUUCUACGUCACAAGUUUCAAAAAUUAUUUUAUUUCUGUUGGUGUUUUAUUUCUAAACAAUUUCAUGCGAAAUAUUAAAAAAGAUUUUCCUUUCUUGUUUUGUUUUGUUUUGUUUUGUUGUUAUAUGAAGUUUCAAAUCAACAACUCAAAAAAAAAAAUUCAUUUGUAUGUUUUCUCAUUUGUUUUGGUCAUGCCUCAAGUCGGGUUUUGUUUGUGGCUUAAUCUUUAACUCUUUAAUUUGAAUGAACUACGUAUACCUGAUUUUCGUCCUUCGGGACGGGAUACGUAACCAACCCUUGGUGGGUUUAGUAAUCUUUUUUAAUUUGAUCAUUGUCUUAGUUUUAGUCUAGGGUCAUUUUCUUGCUUAGUCAAGUAUUGUUAGUUGGUCAUUGCCAAAUAGACUAAUUUCACUUAGCAGUACCAUUUGGUGAAUUAAAGUUAUAAAUCGGCAUGUUCCUUCGUGUCACGUGACACUUCUCUAUGUUAAAAUUUUGAAGGUCGGAAAUUCUUUCCCUUUUAUUGAAUUUUGAGUCAUGGUCCUACAUGUGUUAUUAUGGAAUGGAUUCAUUCACAAGAUCUAGAGUCUUGAUGGUUUCUAAGGUGCCCAAAAAGUAAAUCAAGUGGUGGGACAUGUUCAACUACUCUAAACGACACAAGUUAAAGAAGAAGUCAGGCACUCUUACAUCCUUCUUGUAUAUCGUGCCCUACUAGAUUUGAUCGAGAUUAUAUUGACUUUUUGGGACGAAUAGGUUGGUAUUUAGGUUCGGGAGUUGUAAAAUGAUGCCCACUCUGACAAAAAUAUCUGGUUUGUUUUAAUUGUCCUACAUCAAUAAAAAGAUGAUUCGAGUCUGGGUUCAUUCUCCCACGAGGUUUCUCCAUGACUAUAGAUUGAAGAUAAUAACCACCUGGGAUGCCUUAACUAAUUUUGGUUCUCCUUCGAUUACCCGUAUGCUCGAUUUGGGUCCCCAGAUGGUUUCGUUUGUUUUUAGGAUGAAUUUUAUAAAACUAAGAAGAAUUGGGAGGAAACGUCGUCUUGAAAUAUUCACCCUUGCUUUGUUAGGCACCUUAGUGUUUUCGUUAGAUGAAAGAUAUGUAAAUACUCAUUUGCAAUUUGUAGUUAUGGCCUUAUUUAAUAGAAACAAAGGGCAAAAAGUCACUACUGUACUUAUAAUUUUAGUUAAAAUAUAUAAGGCUUUGACUGAAGUAAAAGGAGGAUUUGUUUUUUUUAGGGAAGUAGCCUGGUAUUGCAAUUAUGGAUGAUGAAACAUUUGCACGCUCCUUUUUUGAUUAAAUUGGGUGUGGUCAAUCGUUGUUUUCCCGAUCGAGUGGAGGCCAUUGAACAAAGAAUGCGCUUUGAUAAAUUUUUAUUACCCGUGGGAGUCAAUGCUUGGAUUGAAUUUCUCGAAUCAAGAACUCAUGACAACAUUCUUUGAACCUAUUUGUGGCUCCAUUCGAAAAUAAUCUUAGUCAAAUGUCUCAUGCAACUUCUUCUAGUUUUGAUAGGGCUCAACUGCACUAGACCAUACACUCCGAGUAGGGUAAUGCACCAGUUGGAUUGGUUGCAAGACGUUCCACCAAUAAUGAAUUUUCAAAAGGAUGUUGAGUACUUUAGGGAUCAAGCCAUGGGUGAGAUCAAAUCUGAGCAGUUCUAGCGUAAUGCAACAAAACUUGGGUAUAGAUACUCUCAUAGAAGGUUUGGAUAAUCCUGCGUACACUCAGAGAUAUGUGAUCUGGCUACAAUCCAUACCUCAGGGUAUCGGUAGGCCAUUACCGGCGCAACUUAGAGGGCAGAUACUUGAAGCGUACAUAGUCAAUGACAAUGAAGAGAUAGGUGCAGGGGAUAAAGUUGAGUUGCUAAAAGUUUGGUUAUCAGGUUUGAUCACAACUGUAGAGCCACUAGAGAAAUUUGCUUGGGUGUACUCUCCAAGAGUUGGGGGCACGCGCUAGAGGCUUCCUCCCAAGUAUCAAAGUAUCAUUACGGGAUAUGUUACAAAGUUGGAAUUCAAGUGGCAGCGAGAACUUUACAGCCAGGGCCUUCACAGACAGAUCCAUCAUAGUCGGGGUCAUCACAUGGCGCAGCAGUUUGAAGGGGUAUUUCUAUCUUUUGCUUGGUUGGAGUCCUUUAUUUUUCUGUCAUUAUGUUUGACAUAGUGGUGUUAUGUCUUGGUGGGUCGGUAUCAAGUUUGAUUUAGUAUUAAUGUUACGUACAUUGUUUUGUCAGUCUAGAGUGUUUUUUAGUUUUUAUGUAUUGUUAUCAAAGUUGUCUUAGUUUUGGAGUCUAUUUUAGUUAUAUCUUCUAUGAAAAAAAAUCUCUGGUUAUGUUUCGUUGGUCUUUCUUUUUCACUUGUUCUUUGUUCUUAAGUUUUGAAGAAAAAAAACACUUUUGUUUCUGUGAUAUUUAUGCAUGCUUUCCGAACUACACAAGAUCUGAUUCUUGCACAACAUGAUACAUAGUCAACCUACUACUUGGUUUGAUCUAAUCAUUUUGUUUUUUUCGUUUUAUUUUUCUUUUCAGUUUUCCUCUUUUGAAGAAAGCAAAAGCCAGAAUGAAUGAUAAAAAAAAAGAAAAAUAGUGAGCGAAUAAAUCAAACAAAGAGUUAGAGAAGGAAAAGAGAUUGAUGAAAAGAAAAAGAAAAAAGAGCACGAAAACAGAGAAAAAUGAAAUGCAAGUGCGAUGUAAGAAGCAGUAAGUGUAAAAGCAAGUUGGGAUGAUGUCAAAAUAUCCGUAUUACCUUCAAGGCCAUGUAGAAAUGUAAAUGAAACUAGGUGCAUAACAUACAAUGUGAUUAGCAUGUCUGUUGUAUGACCUAAACUUAACGAGUUUUGUCUUUGAUGAGAAUGUUCUUUUAGAUAAAAAUGGUUGAUUUGUGGCACUUUGGCCAGUCAUCUUUAUUUCACCAAGUCCAAAGCAAAGAUUGUUAUGGCUAACAAAGAUGAAGAAACUUCACUUAUUGACCCAAACCAGGGUCCCGGGGAAGGGGGUUCAGAACCCAAUUAGGAGAUAUCGAGACUUAGACAACAGUCAGUAGAAAUACACUGAGCAUGGGCUAGUGACAUGUCUCCUUCUCCAUUCCCUAAUGAUGAUCUUGAAAAAUACUUUCAAUUACUCGUUGCUUUCGCAGGUACACUUUUCUAUUUCUAUUGAUACACCACAACAUGCACCACCCCGCAUCAAUACUAUCCAAGUACUUUUAAUGUGCCAUUUGAUGCUCCUCAAUAAACACUUACCAUCUAUCCAACACCACCUAUUGAACCUGUGUUCAUGGCUCCACCACCUCCUGAAUUUCCUACUUUUGCUGCUCGUCCAAAAGUCACGCUCUCUCGAUUUGCUACUGAAUCGAUGUUUAGGAUUCCUGAUGAUCAAUAUUAUGCUCCAGAGCCUACCUUUAAGUUGAAUGAUCUGUAUUAUUACAAUUUGCCACCUGUAUUCCCUGCGAUACAGAAAAGUCUACCAUGACAGAAGAACAGGAUGGUUUGAUACGAAAAUUGAAGAGUUUAGAAUCGGCCAUGAGAAACUUACAGGGACUCAGGGGUUAUAAAGUGUUUCAUAUAAAGAUCUGUGCAUGUUAUCAAGUGUUAAUCUCCCUUUUAAUUUUAAGAUGCCGAAGUUUGAGAAAUACGAUGGACACGAUGAUCCAGUGGCACACAUGAGGCAUUAUGUGUGAGAGUAUUUCAAGUCUAACUUCUGAAUGGUUUGUUGUUCAGGACAUCGAUAAGUGGAAUAGUUGAGAUGACCUAGCUAAUGAAUUCGUACAACAAUUCCAACACAACGUGGAGUUGAUUUCUGAAGAGAAAUCCCUAACUAAUAUGAAGAAUAAGAGUACUGAAAGUUUCAGAAAGUAUGCAAUAAGGUGGCGUGAACAGGCUGCUAGAGUGAAACCGUCGAUAAAAGAGAGUAAAUUGGUAGAGAUCUUCCUUUAGCCACAAGAUGAAACCUAUUUUCAACACUUGUUUCUGGCAAUAGGUAAAUCGUUUAUUGAAGUCAUUAAAUGGGAGAAAUGAUAGAAAAUGGUAUUAAGAUUGGGUGGAUUGUGAGCUUUGCUGCAUUAAAGGCUACUACCCAAGCAAUUCAAAGUGGUUUCAGAACUUUUGGAGGAAAGGAGAAGAAAAAAGAUGUAGCUGUUGUUGUAGCUGGACCACGAGCAUAUCCAAAAGGACCACCUCGCUAUUACCCCCAAUAUCAAGCCCAAGUCUAUAUCUAAGCUCAAUAUAAUCACCCCCAACAUCAUUAUCCUCCACAAAAUCCAUUAUACUCUAUUCCCCACCUCCUUCUUACCAACAAUGGCGUCACUGGGUUUUGCGAAGGAUAAUAAUAUUGGGGGUGAUUAUAUGGAGCUUGGGUAUAGACUUGUGCUUGAUACUGAGGGUAAUGGUGAGGUGGUGUUUUUGGAUAUGCACGUGGUCAACUAUAACAACAGCUACAUCUUCUUUCUUCUUCUUUCCUCCAAAAGUUCCUGAACUACUUUGAAUUGCUUGGGUAGUAGCCUUUAAUGCAGCAAAGUUCACAAUCUGCCCAAUCUUAAUACCAUCUUCUAUCAUUUCUCCCAUUUUGAUGACUUCAUUAAACGAUUUACCCAUUGUUAGAAGCAAGUGUUGAAAAUAGGUUUUGUCUUGUGCUUGAAAGAAGACCUCUACCAAUUUACUCUCUUUCAUCAACGGUUUUACCCUAGUAGCUUAUUCAUGCCACCUUAUCGUAUACUCCCUGAAACUUUCAGUACUCUUCUUCUUCAUAUUAGUUAGGGAUUCUCAUCAGAAAUCAACUCCACAUUGUAUUGGAAUUAUUGCACGAAUUCAUUAGCUUGGUCAUCCUAAUUGUUCCACUUAUCGAUGUCCUGAUCAAUAAAUCAUUCAGAAGCUAGACUUGAAAGACUCUCACCAAAAUAAGUCGUGAGUAAUUCUUCUUUCCCUUCAGCGCCUUUUAGCUGGUUACAAUAACGCCUCAUGUGUGCCAUCGGAUCACCGUGCCCAUUAUAUUUCUCAAACAUCGGCAUCUUAAAACCAUGAGGGAUAUUAACACUUGGAAGCAUGCACAAAUAUUUAUAUGAAGCACUUUUGUAACCCCUGAGUCCUUACAAGUUUCUUAUGGCCUGUUCUUAAUUUUCAGCCUUUCUGUUCUUCUGUCAUGGCAGGUUUUUCUGUAUC